CGAACGCAUCCCGCUGAAUUGAAGUGCUUGCACUGAUUUUCAGCAUUGGCUGAGUGGCGAACUGGUGAGUAACACGUGGGUAACCUGCCCGGAAGCAGGGGAUAACACUUGGAAACAGGUGCUAAUACCGUAUAACAACUGAAACCGCAUGGUUUCAGUUUGAAAGAUGGUUUCGGCUAUCACUUCUGGAUGGACCCGCGGCGUAUUAGCUAGUUGGUGGAGUAAUGGUUCACCAAGGCAAUGAUACGUAGCCGACCUGAGAGGGUAAUCGGCCACAUUGGGACUGAGACACGGCCCAAACUCCUACGGGAGGCAGCAGUAGGGAAUCUUCCACAAUGGACGAAAGUCUGAUGGAGCAACGCCGCGUGAGUGAAGAAGGGUUUCGGCUCGUAAAACUCUGUUGUUGAAGAAGAACACAUCUGAGAGUAACUGUUCAGGUGUUGACGGUACUUAACCAGAAAGCCACGGCUAACUACGUGCCAGCAGCCGCGGUAAUACGUAGGUGGCAAGCGUUGUCCGGAUUUAUUGGGCGUAAAGCGAGCGCAGGCGGUUUCUUAAGUCUGAUGUGAAAGCCUUCGGCUUAACCGGAGAAGUGCAUCGGAAACUGGGAGACUUGAGUGCAGAAGAGGACAGUGGAACUCCAUGUGUAGCGGUGAAAUGCGUAGAUAUAUGGAAGAACACCAGUGGCGAAGGCGGCUGUCUGGUCUGUAACUGACGCUGAGGCUCGAAAGCAUGGGUAGCGAACAGGAUUAGAUACCCUGGUAGUCCAUGCCGUAAACGAUGAAUACUAGGUGUUGGAGGGUUUCCGCCCUUCAGUGCCGCAGCUAACGCAUUAAGUAUUCCGCCUGGGGAGUACGAC
RNAcentral lists this ribosomal RNA (859 nucleotides) under uncultured bacterium. RNAcentral describes it as "bacterial SSU rRNA". It matches the Rfam family "Bacterial small subunit ribosomal RNA", at positions 63 to 886 of the family's 1533-position model. The record is from RNAcentral.